GACGAACGCUGGCGGCGUGCCUAAUACAUGCAAGUCGAACGCUUUUUCUUUCGCCGGAGCUUGCUCCACCGAAAGAAAAAGAGUGGCGAACGGGUGAGUCACACGUGGGUAACCUGCCCAUCAGAAGGGGAUAACACUUGGAAACAGGUGCUAAUACCGUAUAACACUAUUUUCCGCAUGGAAGAAAGUUGAAAGGCGCUUUUGCGUCACUGAUGGAUGGACCCGCGGUGCAUUAGCUAGUUGGUGAGGUAACGGCUCACCAAGGCAACGAUGCAUAGCGGACCGGGGAGGGGGAUCGGCCACACUGGGACUGAAGCACGGCCCAGACUCCUGCGGGAGGUAGCAGUAGGGAAUCUUCGGCAAUGGACGAAAGUCUGACCGAGCAACGCCGCGUGAGUGAAGAAGGUUUUCGGAUCGUAAAACUCUAUUGUUAGAGAAGAACAAGGAUGAGAGUAAAACGUUCAUCCCUUGACGGUAUCUAACCAGAAAGCCACGGCUAACUACGUGCCAGCCGCCGCCGUAA
RNAcentral lists this ribosomal RNA (523 nucleotides) under uncultured bacterium. RNAcentral describes it as "partial 16S ribosomal RNA". It matches the Rfam family "Bacterial small subunit ribosomal RNA", at positions 28 to 523 of the family's 1533-position model. The record is from RNAcentral.